CCUACGGGGGGCAGCAGUGAGGAAUAUUGGUCAAUGGACGAGAGUCUGAACCAGCCAAGUAGCGUGAAGGAUGACUGCCCUAUGGGUUGUAAACUUCUUUUAUAUGGGAAUAAAAUGUUCCACGUGUGGGAUUUUGUAUGUACCAUAUGAAUAAGGAUCGGCUAACUCCGUGCCAGCAGCCGCGGUAAUACGGAGGAUCCGAGCGUUAUCCGGAUUUAUUGGGUUUAAAGGGAGCGUAGGUGGAUUGUUAAGUCAGUUGUGAAAGUUUGCGGCUCAACCGUAAAAUUGCAGUUGAAACUGGCAGUCUUGAGUACAGUAGAGGUGGGCGGAAUUCGUGGUGUAGCGGUGAAAUGCUGAGAUAUCACGAAGAACUCCGAUUGCGAAGGCAGUUCACUGGACUGCAACUGACACUGAGGCUCGAAAGUGUGGGUAUCAAACAGGAUUAGAUACCCGGGUAGUC
This 460-nucleotide ribosomal RNA is filed under the name uncultured bacterium. RNAcentral's name for it is "partial 16S ribosomal RNA". It matches the Rfam family "Bacterial small subunit ribosomal RNA", at positions 338 to 795 of the family's 1533-position model. The record is from RNAcentral.